CUGCUGGCACGUAGUUAGCCGUCCCUUUCUGGUAAGCUACCGUCACAGUGUGAACUUUCCACUCUCACACUCGUUCUUGACUUACAACAGAGCUUUACGAUCCGAAAACCUUCUUCACUCACGCGGCGUUGCUCGGUCAGGGUUGCCCCCAUUGCC
RNAcentral lists this ribosomal RNA (156 nucleotides) under uncultured Bacillota bacterium. RNAcentral's name for it is "uncultured Firmicutes bacterium partial 16S ribosomal RNA". Lineage: Bacteria; Bacillati; Bacillota. The record is from RNAcentral.